Molecule: ribosomal RNA, 471 nt
Filed under: uncultured soil bacterium
Lineage: Bacteria
Description: bacterial SSU rRNA
Rfam family: Bacterial small subunit ribosomal RNA
Source: RNAcentral
AGAGCGAACGCUGGCGGCAGGCCUAACACAUGCAAGUCGAACGGACCCUUCGGGGUUAGUGGCGGACGGGUGAGUAACACGUGGGAACGUGCCUUUUGGUUCGGAAUAGCUCCUGGAAACGGGUGGUAAUGCCGAAUGUGCCCUUCGGGGGAAAGAUUUAUCGCCAUUAGAGCGGCCCGCGUCUGAUUAGCUAGUUGGUAAGGUAAUGGCUUACCAAGGCGACGAUCAGUAGCUGGUCUGAGAGGAUGACCAGCCACACUGGAACUGAGACACGGUCCAGACUCCUACGGGAGCAGCAGUGGGGAAUAUUGGACAAUGGGACAAAGCCUGAUCCAGCCAUGCCGCGUGUGUGAAGAAGGUCUUCGGAUUGUAAAGCACUUUAAGUUGGGAGGAAGGGUUGUAACCUAAUACGUUGACAACUUUGACGUUACCGACAGAAUAAGCACCGGCUAACUUCGUGCCAGCAGCCGA